AUCCAUUUCAACUGAGAGGGGUCGCUGUCCCCUGAAACAUGGACCAAGAUCUAUCCACUUCAACUGAGAGGGGUCGCUGUCCCCUGAAACAUGGACCAAGAUCUAUCCACUUCAACUGAGAGGGGUCGCUGUCCACUGAAACAUGGACCAAGGUCCAGUCUUCUUGCCCCUUAAAUAUUGUCAUACUUGAUGAGGACUCAUCCUCUUCCAUGGUAGGUGAUCUGCAGAGAAGAGAUGACUAAGCCUUGCUCACACUGUAGGCCUUAAUGUUCAAAUCAGUUUUGUAUUUUAAAUCCCUUUUUCGGAAUACUGGUUUUCCAAACAUCAACUUACAAGUGACCAAAUCGGAUCUUCUGUGUGUGUUCAGACAGUUAUUUGUUGGCACGGCUACGCUAGUUGUCAUAGUAACGACGGGUGUGUGCGCAAUGGUGUAGGCUGAUUGGUGGCGCUCGACGAGCAGGUGUCCGCAUACUUUUGGUCAUGCAGUGUAUUUCCCUCAGAUUACACAGACCCACAAAGAAUUAGAAAACAAACUUUACAUUAAAACAUAAGAAAUUAUAUACAUAUCUCAAUAUACUUAUUUUCUAAAAAUCACACUCUUACUAAAUAUGAUUUUUUUGUAACAGAAAAAUUACAGACAAACUCACGUCAAACUCUGUAGCUCUCACCGGCCACAGAGGAGAUAGUCCUGUCCAGCCCUCUCUCCAUCUCUCACGAUCAGAGGGUUACUGGUAUCAAUGGCUACCACAUACCGCUGGAGUACUG
This 765-nucleotide long non-coding RNA is filed under the name Salmo salar (Atlantic salmon). Its description in RNAcentral is "lncRNA (ENSSSAG00000089309.1)". Lineage: Eukaryota; Metazoa; Chordata; Actinopteri; Salmoniformes; Salmonidae. The record is from RNAcentral.